AGGAUCAUUACCGAGUGUAGGGUUCCUAGCGAGCCCAACCUCCCACCCGUGUUUACUGUACCUUAGUUGCUUCGGCGGGCCCGCCAUUCAUGGCCGCCGGGGGCUCUCAGCCCCGGGCCCGCGCCCGCCGGAGACACCACGAACUCUGUCUGAUCUAGUGAAGUCUGAGUUGAUUGUAUCGCAAUCAGUUAAAACUUUCAACAAUGGAUCUCUUGGUUCCGGCAUCGAUGAAGAACGCAGCGAAAUGCGAUAACUAGUGUGAAUUGCAGAAUUCCGUGAAUCAUCGAGUCUUUGAACGCACAUUGCGCCCCCUGGUAUUCCGGGGGGCAUGCCUGUCCGAGCGUCAUUGCUGCCCAUCAAGCACGGCUUGUGUGUUGGGUCGUCGUCCCCUCUCCGGGGGGGACGGGCCCCAAAGGCAGCGGCGGCACCGCGUCCGAUCCUCGAGCGUAUGGGGCUUUGUCACCCGCUCUGUAGGCCCGGCCGGCGCUUGCCGAACGCAAAUCAAUCUUUUCCAGGUUGACCUCGGAUCAGGUAGGGAUACCCGCUGAACUUAA
RNAcentral lists this ribosomal RNA (554 nucleotides) under Aspergillus flavus. RNAcentral's name for it is "eukaryotic LSU rRNA". The stretch from base 193 to 346 matches the Rfam family "5.8S ribosomal RNA". Lineage: Eukaryota; Fungi; Ascomycota; Eurotiomycetes; Eurotiales; Aspergillaceae. The record is from RNAcentral.